Molecule: ribosomal RNA, 400 nt
Filed under: phytoplankton environmental sample
Lineage: Eukaryota
Description: partial small subunit ribosomal RNA
Rfam family: Eukaryotic small subunit ribosomal RNA
Source: RNAcentral
AGCUCCAAUAGCGUAUAUUAAAGUUGUUGCAGUUAAAAAGCUCGUAGUUGGAUUUGUGGUUGAGGCGGCCGGCCCUCACUAUGUGUGGUGUUGGGCUGCCUCGUCCAUCCUUGGGUGGAACCAGUGUGGCAUUAAGUUGUCGUGUUGGGGAUGCCCAUCAUUUACUGUGAAAAAAUUAGAGUGUUCAAAGCAGGCUUACGCCGUUGAAUAUAUUAGCAUGGAAUAAUGAGAUAGGACCUUGGUACUAUUUUGUUGGUUUGCGCACCGAGGUAAUGAUUAAUAGGGACAGUUGGGGGUAUUCGUAUUCCAUUGUCAGAGGUGAAAUUCUUGGAUUUCUGGAAGACGAACUACUGCGAAAGCAUUUACCAAGGAUGUUUUCAUUAAUCAAGAACGAAAGUAC